GCUACACAUGCAGUCGAGCGGAACGAUGGUAGCUUGCUACCAGGCGUCGAGCGGCGGACGGGUGAGUAAUACUUAGGAAUCUACCUAGUAGUGGGGGAUAGCACGGGGAAACUCGUAUUAAUACCGCAUACGACCUACGGGAGAAAGGGGGCAGUUUACUGCUCUCGCUAUUAGAUGAGCCUAAGUCGGAUUAGCUAGAUGGUGGGGUAAAGGCCUACCAUGGCGACGAUCUGUAGCUGGUCUGAGAGGAUGAUCAGCCACACCGGGACUGAGACACGGCCCGGACUCCUACGGGAGGCAGCAGUGGGGAAUAUUGGACAAUGGGGGAAACCCUGAUCCAGCCAUGCCGCGUGUGUGAAGAAGGCCUUUUGGUUGUAAAGCACUUUAAGCAGUGAAGAAGACUCUUCGGUUAAUACCCGGAGACGAUGACAUUAGCUGCAGAAUAAGCACCGGCUAACUCUGUGCCAGCAGCCGCGGUAAUACAGAGGGUGCAAGCGUUAAUCGGAUUACUGGCGUAAGCGAGCGUAGGUGGCUGAUAAGUCAGAUGUGAAAUCCGGCUAACUGGACUGCAUCUGA
This 576-nucleotide ribosomal RNA is filed under the name bacterium fme09x26p298. RNAcentral's name for it is "bacterial SSU rRNA". It matches the Rfam family "Bacterial small subunit ribosomal RNA", at positions 48 to 630 of the family's 1533-position model. The record is from RNAcentral.